AGAUGCAUAAGUUUGAGACUUGACAUCCUCUAAAUAUCUGGAAAAUACCGCGUGAAUGGUGUUUCCAUAUUUUAGUGGAUUCUUGCUUGGGAUUCCAUAUCUUGUGGAUCAAUAUUCAUUUUCAAAUUCAAUCUUUCCGAAAGAAAAUUUAUCAACCGCUCUGACUUUUUAUCAGCGAAGUUGAUGUUGAAAACGCCACCGAAGAUGAGUGGAAAUUUGUUACCGCUGAUAAUCCGAUUGAAAUACCUAUUUGGUCGCCAAUAAUAUAAUAUCGAUUCACAAAUCAUCAAGCACAAGUUCAUACAACUGUGUCUAAAAUGAUUAAUUGAAAAAUUUCAUUUAUAUUUUUAGCAAGACACAAUUAUAAGAUGAUAGAAUUCUGGUAAAAAGAGCCGAGAAAAUAUGAAAUACAAUCGAGUUCAUAACGAUGAGUCAUACCAUAUAUUGGUCAUACAUUACAUACUGUGAUACUUCGUCCGAAAAUGUACAUAGUGUAGAUAGCUACAGCUACUAUUUAUUAAAAAAUAAUAAAAUAUAAAUAAAUAUAGUUUAAAAACACUAAAAAAAAAACGCUUUUAAAGAAUAUCGAACGAAAAAGUUGAAAAUAAUUUUAAAAAUUAACUUAAAAAAAUAGUAUAUAAAAAAUACUAGUAUAAUAAUAAUCGCCCUAAGCCUUUUCCUCAAUUUAAAGUAAUUAAAGUUUAAAUAAAUUAAAGUUUUUUUAAACUAUAUUUAUUUAAUAUAAGGCUUAUGGUAGAAGCAGCGAAUAUAAAUUAACGUUCUCUGGUAGAAGUACACAUUGCGUUGUGAGCAGCGAUUUGUUUUGUUGAAACGCAACCACCAAUCUUGAAUAUAUGUAUAUAAGUUUUCAUUCACUCGUAUAAACGGUCUUCGAAUUCUCAGAAAUGUUAACGAAUUGUGAAUUGAAAACAUUGGACAUUUGCGAAAUAAAGCAUACUUACCUGGCGUAGAGGUUACCGUGAUCAUGAAGGCGGUUCCUCCGGAGUGAGGCUUGACCAUUGCACCUUCGGUUGAGUUGACCCCCGCGAUUAUUCCUAAUGCGAAUAACUCGUGCGUGUAAUUUUUGGUAGCCGGGAAUGGCGUUCGCGCCGUCCCGACAUUGUUGAAUGUAUAAUAUGGAAAUAAGUAAAUGGAAGGGAUUUUGUCGCUUUUAUUGAAAUAAACGAUGAGGAUAUUAUUAUCAGGGGUGUUGCAAGAUUCUGAUAGUUAUCGAAAGCAGAAUGGAAACCGAUAUGAAAAUGUAGUAGCGUCAUGAAUUUCAGAUAUUAUUUAUGUUCGAAACAGAAAUUUUAUCGGUUUGUUAUCAGAAGCGCAAAGCAAUUCACCGACAGGCUUGAAAUGGAAAAACAUAAAAAUAAAACAAAAUGUCAUAAUUAUGAGUUUAUGUGACAAACUAUUUGAGAGGAUUUACAAACUGUAAUUUAACACGCAAAUGCGUUGUUAUGAGUACAAGAAUAAAGGGCACAAUUUUUCGACUUUUCCAUCGCAGACAAAAGUUUUCUGUUUCUGUUGUUUUUGGAACUAAUAUGACGGUUAGUCGAGGCGUUUGCGACUGGACCGAGGCAAUAAUUUUUCAACAAGACAACGUCGGCCUGUUGCAAAACCGAUUAAAACUUUUUAGAAAACUGCGGCUGUUUUUUGCCUCACCCGCCCAGACUUGCCCCCCUUCUGAGUACCAUUUGUUCAGGUCGCUGUCAGUUGGAAUGCAUAUCACAUAAUAAAAAACAAUAAAAUAAAAGCUAAAAUAGCGUAACUCAUUGUAAACUUUAGUAGACUUUAUUCGGUAUUUCAAAUUUAUCAAACACCUCCAAAUUUAUUCAUUUGCAAGUUUUGUCACAAUAGUAAACAGCUGAUUUGAAUAUUGGUUUUGCAUAUGUUCACAAAAAGACGAAAAUCCAAUCAGAUCUGUGACACCAUUGAAAAUCAGAAUUGGUUUGCAAUUCUGAUAACUACGCGAAUCUGUCUUGGAUUCCCACAACACCCCUGUAUGCAUAGUAUUUCAUUAUUUUAAUUUAGAGAAAAGUUAAAGUGCCGAGUACAAGAAUAAAGGGCACAUUUUGCGACUUUUCCAUCGCAGACAAAAGUUUUCUGUUUCUAGUUGUUUUUGGAACUUUUUUAGAACUUAAUUGACGGUUAGUGGAGGUGUUUGAGACUAGACUGAGGCAAUAAGGACAAGUCGGCCUGUUGCAAAACCGGUUAAAAACUUUUUAGAAAAAUGCGGCGGUUUUUUGCCUCACCCGCUUAGACUUGCCCCCCUUCUGACUACCAUUUGUUCUGGUCGAUUCAGGACGCCGUCAGUUAGAAUGAAUAUCACAUCAAAUAAAUAUAUGUAGCUUUAACAAAGAACCGAGUUUUAGGAGCCCGUACUUGUCAUGCUCUUUUGGACCCACUAAAUACAGAGCUUUUCCGUUGAUUUGGUUGGCACAUGCUUUUCUCACGUUCAGAGGUGUCGUAAUUUUUCAUCAACUAGUCACAAAUCCGAUCAAGAACGACUUUUUACAGCUUAAACAAAACACAAUACGGGCGACGAGAAUAUUCGUCUACUCGGCGACUAGAACACACGAUUGUAUAUGAAUAUGAACACAAAACGCGGCGACGGCAAAAUCUCGCACACCAGACGAUUUUUGAGAUAGAGUUAUUUUUAUUUAGAUAAAAAUCUCUAGAAUUCCCAAAAAAAAUGUUUGCGUUGGCGUUGGCAAUAUUAAAUCGUUUGUAUUUGGUUUGGUUUGUGAAAUCUUUGAGCGCGAAUAUACACUAACUGCGAUGAAAAU
Molecule: non-coding RNA, 2792 nt
Organism: Bactrocera oleae (olive fruit fly)
Lineage: Eukaryota; Metazoa; Arthropoda; Insecta; Diptera; Tephritidae
Source: RefSeq, a predicted model, not a curated record